RNAcentral lists this ribosomal RNA (229 nucleotides) under uncultured bacterium. RNAcentral describes it as "partial 16S ribosomal RNA". It matches the Rfam family "Bacterial small subunit ribosomal RNA", at positions 104 to 334 of the family's 1533-position model. The record is from RNAcentral.
CGGGGUGAGUAAUGUCUGGGAAACUGCCUGAUGGAGGGGGGUAACUACUGGAAACGGUAGCUAAUACCGCAUAACGUCUUCGGACCAAAGUGGGGGGACUUCGGGCCUCACGCCAUCGGAUGUGCCCAGAUGGGAUUAGCUAGUAGGUGGGGUAAUGGCUCACCUAGGCGACGAUCCCUAGCUGGUCUGAGAGGAUGACCAGCCACACUGGAACUGAGACACGGUCCAG